This 464-nucleotide ribosomal RNA is filed under the name uncultured Massilia sp. RNAcentral's name for it is "bacterial SSU rRNA". It matches the Rfam family "Bacterial small subunit ribosomal RNA", at positions 1047 to 1517 of the family's 1533-position model. The record is from RNAcentral. Lineage: Bacteria; Pseudomonadati; Pseudomonadota; Betaproteobacteria; Burkholderiales; Oxalobacteraceae.
GGCUGUCGUCAGCUCGUGUCGUGAGAUGUUGGGUUAAGUCCCGCAACGAGCGCAACCCUUGUCAUUAGUUGCUACGAAAGGGCACUCUAAUGAGACUGCCGGUGACAAACCGGAGGAAGGUGGGGAUGACGUCAAGUCCUCAUGGCCCUUAUGGGUAGGGCUUCACACGUCAUACAAUGGUACAUACAGAGGGCCGCCAACCCGCGAGGGGGAGCUAAUCCCAGAAAGUGUAUCGUAGUCCGGAUCGCAGUCUGCAACUCGACUGCGUGAAGUUGGAAUCGCUAGUAAUCGCGGAUCAGCAUGUCGCGGUGAAUACGUUCCCGGGUCUUGUACACACCGCCCGUCACACCAUGGGAGCGGGUUUUACCAGAAGUAGGUAGCUUAACCGCAAGGAGGGCGCUUACCACGGUAGGAUUCGUGACUGGGGUGAAGUCGUAACAAGGUAGCCGUAUCGGAAGGUGCGG